RNAcentral lists this ribosomal RNA (327 nucleotides) under uncultured eukaryote. RNAcentral's name for it is "partial 18S ribosomal RNA". It matches the Rfam family "Eukaryotic small subunit ribosomal RNA", at positions 1470 to 1796 of the family's 1831-position model. The record is from RNAcentral.
CCCUUAGAUGUUCUGGGCCGCACACGCGCUACACUGUAGGAGGCAGCGUGUACUCCUGGAUCGAAAGAUUUGGGUAACCCGCGAAUCUCCUUCGUGCUAGGGAUUGAGGUUUGCAAUUAUCCUUCAUGAACGAGGAAUUCCCAGUAAGUGCAAGUCAUAAGCUUGCGCUGACUACGUCCCUGCCCUUUGUACACACCGCCCGUCGCUACUACCGAUUGAAUGAUUUAGUGAGGACUUCGGACUGGGACCGAUGCGGCUUUCGGGCUGCGUCGGUAUUCUGGAAAGAUGUCCAAACUGUAUCAUUUAGAGGAAGUAAAAGUCGUAACA